Non-coding RNA from Odocoileus virginianus texanus, 518 nucleotides. The record is from RefSeq and is a predicted model, not a curated record. Lineage: Eukaryota; Metazoa; Chordata; Mammalia; Artiodactyla; Cervidae.
GAGCCCAGGCACUGCUGAGCUUGGCCUGCAUGUGGCAGAGCUGGGAACGACUUUGCCCUUCCUCCAUCAGCCCAGAGGCCGGGAGUUGGGCCCUCAGCAUGGGGAACUGGCCCGCUGACAUCUCAUAAGACGAAAUUUGCUCCGCAGACAGCUGUGCAUGUGCGUGUCGGUCGUGGGGACACUGGGCCUGCAUGUGGGCGGUGGCACAGAGACAGCCGGGGUGGUAGUUCUCCAACAAGGGGGAGAACCCUCCAGAAACUCAAGCUCCGACAGCCGCUUCUGCCUCAGAAACUUUCCAGAGCGAUCCUGUGUCUGAAAGUCCCUCAACACCUGCCCUGCCCCAUGGAGCUCAAGACACCAGGAGAGAUCUCUAAACAGAAGUUGGCCCCUAAUCUGUCCAUCAAUUCAGGAAAUGACAGUAAUGACCAGUAGAGUGGAACUGACCUCACGGCCUCAGACCGCCAUCGGGCCCCACCAAAGCCAGCCAGAGACUUCGCAGACUCUGCUCUGUGCUACGA